Lepidothrix coronata (blue-crowned manakin) is the source of this 2825-nucleotide long non-coding RNA. RefSeq lists it as uncharacterized. Lineage: Eukaryota; Metazoa; Chordata; Aves; Passeriformes; Pipridae. The record is from RefSeq and is a predicted model, not a curated record. The transcript has 10 exons.
CGGCCCCGGGGCUGUGCUCGUCCCGGCUGCUUCUGUCUGCAGGGUUCCCUCGCCUCUCUGCCGGACCCGGGCGGAGGGCAGCGAGGGUGACUGGGAGACUGGAGCAUCUCACUUCCGAGGAAAGGCUGAGGGAGCUGGGCCUGUUCAUCCUCCAGAAGAGAUGAUUGAGAUGGGACCCCAUCAAUGUCUGUUCUGCAAGCCUUGAGAAUGGGAAGUUCUUCAGCAUCAGUCCCAGAAGUCUCUGCUCAUUUGGCAGCUCCCAUAGUAUCAGCACUGCUGAAGAUUAGGUGGAUAUAAAUGGGAGCAGGGAUCUUCUCAGGCACUGCUUUUUUUCACUGAUUACCGUCCUUUCCAGUAACUGCCAUGGCAUGAAGCUGGUAUGAAGUUUGUUAUAAAACACAACAGAAGUGGUUCACAACAAGCAGUGCAGGAGGGCAGGUGGGCACAUGGGGAGAAGGUGAAACAGAGGUUCUAGGAGCCCUGCUGGACCUCAUGUCACUGUUCCUUCAUAAAAGAGCCUUCAUGGAAGCAGUAAUUUCAUUUCAUUGUCACAUAUCUGGAUAUCAGUGAACAGCCGGCAGUGGACAAAGUCAAGAAUUUUAAGUAUGCAUUUAUAACCUAGCAUGCAGGGUGCAUGCAGAACAGCAUGGCAUACAAGAGGUGAUAUCUAUCAGAAGCCCUGAGCAUAUCUGAAAUUCCACAACAUGGCACUGCAGCUUCUCUUCACACUCAUGCUGUUAAGCCAUUCUUGCCAAGGAAUGUCAGAUACGCCAUCUAUUGCAGAAAGCAAAAGGAGAGUGACAUGUGCCAAAGUCUGAAGGGCCAUUCUUAUCUGGCUAUUGUUAUUAAGAAAUAUGGAAUAAAGCAGGUUGGGGGAAGAAGAAUUUUUCUACCUUUGGCCUAACCUGCAGACCAGAUAAAGAGCACUGUAAUUCAGAGCUCCUCGCAGACAAACUUUUACCCGAGGACUACCUGGACCACUUCUGCUUCGAGAAUCAGACUCGGAAGUCCUUGAGCUGGACCGAGAGCUGUCUUCUUCCUCUGAUCCCGAUGACUCAUCUAUAAAUGGGCUGUUGCUUAUUUGAGUUGCUUUCUGCAUAAAUGAACACAACAUUCUUUGAUAUCUUGCAUAAAGGGUAUCAGUCAUUUCCUUCAUACUGUGGCAGAACUCUUUUGGCUUCAUAAUAUUCAAAGCUGUUUCUUGCUUGGGUUGUGAGUUUUGGCACACAAAUAUUAACAUGAAACUGAAUUCCCUCUGCCGUCUGUACGCUCAAACACACCCACACUUCAAAACAGAAACCUGAGGUAGCUCAAGGCAUGGGUCUUUCCAAAGCACAAAAGACUGUCAGAAACAAACAACGCUGUGAUUACUUACUGCUGGUUAUGUGACUAGAAACAGCUUUGGCACUGACACAAAGAAUUUCUACAUACACAUGCUUUUAAUUAUGACACUGAACACCAUGUGGUUCUGUUUAAUAAUUAGCAAGUCUUUGGAAAAAAUCAGCAAGGAACCUAAGAAGAACUGACCUAGGCUAGUAACAUUCCAUAAGCAGUAUUUUUUCCCCAGCUAUUUGACAUUUCUAUUACUUCUGGGGUUCUGUGAUCUCUAAACAUCAACUUACAACAUAUUUGGCAUGGUAGUAUUAAAUGUAAAACAGGAAGUUCCUGGAUGUGAAGCCCAAUGGUAUUUAAAAAUUUCCUUUAAACGGUAAUACAGUUACCCCUUUCAAAGUGGUAUAGACAGGAGUGGUCAUGUUCUUAUAUAUCAGAGAUGUAUAUAAUCCGGAUAUGGAGCAUGAAGUUAGUGAAACAGCACCUAAAAAAGCAACAUAUUCUAUAAAUGACCUUCUUAAUUUACCCCUCAAUUAACCAAAUUCAAAUGUAAUUUUUUUUGUGUUGUUUAACUGCUAUAAAAAGCAAACUAACUCCCAAACUGUUUUAGAUGGGAGAUUUAUAACUUUUUAAAAUUUACAAUGGUUUUAAGAAGCAUAAAUAAAAUUGCAGUCAUGAACACAAACCUUUUUUAAAUUGGAAGCAUAAGCUCUUACCUUGGUACCUGUUAUAGAAUCUUCAAAAAGAAUUGCAAAGUAAACUGGAGUGAACAAUGUACAAAUUCAGCACAAAAUCAAGAGGUAAGGUGGACUAUGGAAAAAUAACCAAUAAUCUUCUAGGUUUUAAAUAGCUGAUAACUAAAUCUUCAUAAAAUUAUUUUAGAAGUCCUUGCUUACACAUCACCAUAAGAAUAGAAUUUUUUUUGAUGAGACAAUGAACAACUAAACCACUUACUUUUAUUACGAGAUUCCAGGGUGAAAGCUUCAGACAUCCUUAAACCAGAUUUGGCUACAGCAUAAAUUCUGCUUUCCUAUACAAGCAAAAUGGAUUUGAUGGUAGAUAAUUAAAACACAACAAUUACCUUUCUUCUGUUUAGCCUCCUAGUCUUGGUGCCAGUGCAACUAUAUGCUAAAAUGGUUCACAAAAUGACAUCAUCAACAGCAGCUGAAAAAUGCAUCCUUCUUUUAUAUGCCAUCCCCAUCAUAUUCAUAGUCUGUUUCAACAUUGCCCUGUAGGUAACUUACUUUUAAAAAUACUAUUAUCAGGCGCCAAAGAAGCUAUAGCAAGAAUGUUUUUUAAUGGAAGAUUGUGUGUUAAGAACAGAGAAAUGCCAUUAAAAGACAGUUUUUCAACCAUUUUGUGUUAGAAGACUACGAUAAGAAAAUCUAUAAUGAAAAAAAAUGCACUAAAAUAUAUACAUAGAAAAGCUGUUACAUUAAUGCAUUAUUCAUCUCUGAAUCAUUAAUAAAUCUCUUGACACUGGAACCACAGAA